AGAGCACUGAAGCUGGGCAUAGUCCCAGACAACCACAGAAACCCUCAACAGGCAUAUACUAGUCCUGGAUUCAUUUUUGAGCAGCAAUGAGGGACCAAGAGGAGACCACAGUAAUUUUCACUUUAAUCAAAGCCCUACUUCUGCUUAGUUCUAUGCAGGAAAUAUAUUUACCACACUUCUAUGGAUGUUUCAGCUAUAUGAUCAUAUACUUUAAUAUCCUACCUGCUUAUGCGAUGACUGCUCUCUUGGCCAACAUACCAGGGAUUGAACCUGGGACCUCCAGACCUAAAAGUAUGAGCUGCCAGUUUAAGCCAAAAAGCAAAGGAUGUCUCCGUAGCUUAUGGCUAUAACAACUCAUAAUCUUUGUGGAUCUGCACAGAGGGAAAGCUGUAACUAACACUAACACACACACACGCCAGAAACAAGAGAAAAAGUUCUGUACACCUGUGAUCCAAAUGACAAACGCUAGGAAAAGGUUUAAGCCUAGCCCCUGAAAAACAACUAGGGCGUAUUACACCAUGAUGGCUUCUGUGAAAAAUUCCAAUGAAUAAGACAUUUUCACUAAAGUCUACAUUACAACCACUCCCAUGAUGUCUCCUCAUUUCUCAUAUGCAGUCCAAAUUAUGCUUUUUUAUUUGUUCUUAAUAGCAGAAAAAUCAAUCAUGUCAAAAUAUGGAAUUCCUUCUACACAAAUCCCUGUAGAAAACAGAUACCUCUAAACAGAGUUCUGUAUCAAAUGACAUCCAAAGGAAUCUCAUGAACACAACACAAUCUCAGUGAAAGUUACUGUGGUGGCAAGUUGAAGACAGAAUGUCAGGCAACUUAACUUACAUUUCCUCAUUUUGUGAGUUACACCAGACUCAGUUUUAUUUUAAGUGAUGCACUCAAUACACUAAUCAAAUCAACAGCUGAAACCUUCAGACAACUAAGAACCUUACUCUCACCAUUUUUUGUCUUCCUGUUACAUUGCAAUUUAUGGAUUUCAGGUUUACUUCUCAACUUCAACCUACCAUAGGCAGCAGAAAAUGAAAGAGAAAAAAUCUGGCAUACUAGAAAUAAAAUAUCUGGGAAAGCGGCUAUUAGAGGUUAGGUAUUUCAUCAUUUUGAAGGGCCUCCAUACAGUACCUCUGUUACCAUAUUAAUCUGCUUUCUCUCUUAAAGAGUCAUACUAUUUACAGCAAGAGUGGUGCCUUCAAGUCUCAUGCUGGACAUGAGCAGCGGAGUUAAACAGCAUCACUAAUUACAAACAAGGGUCUCCACACAGUAACAUCCAGGUGUUUUGUGGAAACGUUUCCAAGCUCACUUUCUGGCAGAGGGGAGAAUCUCAACCUCCUGAGGCUGUCACGGCUUCAGGUAGCCCUUGUAAGGCGCUGUGGCGGCACAGUCACCUCCUCCCGCCUCUCUUCUCCGCCCCAUUAGCUCGGGAGCGGCAGAAAGCGAAGCGAUGUGGCGUCUAAAGGGAGCUCCAGCGCUGCCUAACAGUCAGAGCAGGUGACUGACAGGAAUCAUCCUGGGAUCAAUGGAACCUUUGAGCAUGAAAAGGAAUGGAGGACCUGGCCUUGAUGAGCAAGUGAGAGCAUAAAUAGAAAGGGUGUGAUGACAAGAGCGUGACUUGAUCUGUAAUCCAUUGAUCCCAAGAUGCAUUUCUACAUCUGUGACAUAAUUCAGACAUUUUUGCUAGUAAACUGGAGAUAUUUGAAUGGGUGAAAUUCUAUAUCUGUGGGAUCACAUACGGAAAAAGGUGAACAAAGUUACAAGAUACCACAAGGGCAGAGUGUGACAUGGUGAACUCAUCACAAUUAAGGACAUUCGAACUAACUGUAAUGAAGGGAAAUGUUUGCCAGCCUUCAGUGCAGUAUGAUAAAGAAGAAUUCUUUUAAAAGUGUGUGUUGUGGGCAGAUGGGCACAUCAUGCUACCAUGGGAAAGAAUUUUAGUUAAGUGCAGAUUUCUGUGAAGUCUGAGGGAAAUCAUGCCAAAGCACGCACACACAUAAAACCUACCUUCAGUCAAAAACUUGAUGUCAGUCCCUCACAAUCCUCAUGGUUGAAAAGAAUUCUUCAGAGGAAAACUAGUUGUUGCUGAGCUUGUAGCCCUUAUAAAAGCAUUGCAAUACUCUAGUAAUGGCCUAAAAUACUGAGAGUGAAAUACAAAGUCUGUGUACUACUAAGCCUCACCAGACCCUACUGAGAUGGGACGAAACCUUUUAUCCAACUUCCCUGAACAUUGGUAGUUCAAAUCCCAAUCACCCAUGUUUCAGGGGUUAUGUUUGCAACCAAACACAAAACAUGGUGUCUUUGGCUCUAUUUAGUUUUAAAGAACUUAAACUAUCUAAAAUGUCUGUGGUACUGCCAAUGCAUUACAGUAUGUGGGUAGUACUUGGUAGGCCACAUAUUAUCUCUCUCUGUAUCUGUCCCAUGAGGACAAAUCAUACUUCACAUGCUCCUUAUUUAGGCAAAACUCUCAUUGACAAACAAUGGAAGUUUUGCCUUGGUGUGGAUCUCAGGAGUUGUCCAUAGUUUUGCAGUUGGGAAUUUUCAGUAUCACAGAAUUCUAUGGAUGCAGCCAUUGCAAGUAUUAUUACUGAAAUCUGUAAAGCAAUUUGCUGACAUUUUGAAGAAACAAAUUAAAAAAAAUGUAGUUAAGCCAUGCUUGCAAAUAUCGUAGAAGAAAGAAGGGAGCCUGUUCUUAGAUCUCCAGCUAUGGAAGCUGUUUUAUAAUUCUUUGCUUCAAAUUGAACUUGUUUCUUGAGGAUUUUUUAGUGCCAUAACACACACUAGAUAGAAUUUCAGUAUACUUUCUAAAAUGCAUCUAGGUGAGGUAAGGUAUUUUAAAGACUUUACCAGGAAGGUCACCAAAAGAUGUGAUUGCAUACAGUUUAUAAGAACAUGACACAGCAAAAGUAAAUGGAUUAAUUUUCUAUCAGGGCUGUGUUUUUGAGAUGAACAAAGCCAUAGUUAGUUUGGUAUCUAACCCAAAUUAAAAGACUUUUGAACUCUACUACUCCAGAAAGUAUGUCUCAGAUUUUAAAGAUUCAGCAAGCAUGCUAACAGAAUUCUCAGAUGCCAUACACCACACUAGUUCCCUGUAAUUUUAAAACUGUAGAUUUUGCAUUCCCAAACCUGGGUGUCUAAAAUCAGGGUCUUAUAUCCAUAUAUAGUUAUUUAAAUAAAAGUAGCCUACGCCUUUUAAAUAGGUGUUGAGUGGUUUAAGCUUUAACUCAGGAAUAGCAGUUGUUGCUUGCCUCUCUAGUUUCCCAUGUACAUUUACACACAAUUUGUAAAGUAAUAUUUUUGUUGGUAGAUGCAGUUUCUACAUUAACAGAGUCAUUGGUAUCAUCAUUCGCUCUUGGGACUAAGAGGGACCAGACAUCAAUCCAGGCUCUCCACAUCUUUCUGAACAAGUCUCUCAUAUUUCAAACUUAUAAGUAAACAGCCAGGCAAGGCGUGUUAGUUUACCUUUGUUUUCUCAACUUGUAAAUGUACCUUUUACUAGGGUGUUUACCUCUGUUUGCUGUACUUUGAACCUAAGGCUAGAGGGGGGUCCUCUGGGCUCUUUAAGUUUGAUUACCCUGUAAAGUUAUUUUCCAUCCUGAUUUUACAGAGAUGAUUUUUACCUUUUCUUUAAUUAAAAACCUUCUUUUUAAGAA
Long non-coding RNA from Malaclemys terrapin pileata, 3647 nucleotides. RefSeq lists it as uncharacterized. The transcript is spliced from 2 exons. The record is from RefSeq and is a predicted model, not a curated record. Lineage: Eukaryota; Metazoa; Chordata; Testudines; Emydidae.